AUUGAACGCUGGCGGCAUGCCUUACACAUGCAAGUCGAACGGUAACGGGCCUUCGGGUGCCGACGAGUGGCGAACGGGUGAGUAAUACAUCGGAACGUGCCCGAUCGUGGGGGAUAACGAGGCGAAAGCUUUGCUAAUACCGCAUACGAUCUACGGAUGAAAGCAGGGGACCGCAAGGCCUUGCGCGGACGGAGCGGCCGAUGACAGAUUAGGUAGUUGGUGGGAUAAAAGCUUACCAAGCCGACGAUCUGUAGCUGGUCUGAGAGGAUGAUCAGCCACACUGGGACUGAGACACGGCCCAGACUCCUACGGGAGGCAGCAGUGGGGAAUUUUGGACAAUGGGCGCAAGCCUGAUCCAGCCAUGCCGCGUGCAGGGUGAAGGCCUUCGGGUUGUAAACUGCUUUUGUACGGAACGAAAAGCCUUCUUUUAAUACAGGAGGGUCAUGACGGUACCGUAAGAAUAAGCACCGGCUAACUACGUG
This 482-nucleotide ribosomal RNA is filed under the name uncultured bacterium. RNAcentral's name for it is "partial 16S ribosomal RNA". It matches the Rfam family "Bacterial small subunit ribosomal RNA", at positions 30 to 507 of the family's 1533-position model. The record is from RNAcentral.